UCCCUCUCUUCUUCCUCUCUCCCGUUGGCUUCUCCUCCAUCUUCAUUGUGCGAAGACCAGAAAAUUUCAGAGAAGAAGGAGCUGCAGCCAUGGUCGUCCACUCCCGCUCGCACGCCGCCGUCGCCGCCGUCGCCGUGUCCGCCUCGCGCCGCCCGUGCACCGCUCGCCGGUCCGCUCGCGUCCGCACUCCGCCCGCGCUUGGCCGGCAUCCCGAGCUGCUGUUCAGCUCGUGCAAGAGCUACCGGAGCUCGUCCCCGCCGCCGUGAACCGCCGUCGACCUCCGCCCUAGCCCGCCGGAGCUUCGCCUUGCCUCCGCCGCCCUUGGCCGCCCGAACCGGCGCCGGAUCCGCCCCAUCUUGGCCCCGAUCAGCAACCCAGAAAAUGGGUAUGGCAGCCCCUUCGUGGCCCGUUUUGGCCGCCUUCCCGAGCCCGGAUGCUCGGCCCGCUUUGAGGAAAGUUGUUCUCCUCGGCGUCCUCGUCGUUUUGGUCCGCUCGGCUCGCUAAUCCGGUCCCUAGAUGGCGGUUGUGGAGGACCCGAAGCCCUAAGUCUGGAAAGGUGGAGACUGAAGUAUCGGUGAUCGUGUCCCGCUAGUUGGUUUGAGGGUAGUUCCCCUUUUGUCGAGCUGGUCUAUUUCGCAGACAGCCCAGAGUUGUAUUUAAGCCUAUGUGUUUGUAAAUGAGUGUUUAGUAUUGUGAUUGAUUGCCUGCUUUUCUAUCCCAAGUUAAAUGUUGUCAGGGGA
Eucalyptus grandis is the source of this 740-nucleotide long non-coding RNA. RefSeq lists it as uncharacterized. Lineage: Eukaryota; Viridiplantae; Streptophyta; Magnoliopsida; Myrtales; Myrtaceae. The transcript is spliced from 2 exons. The record is from RefSeq and is a predicted model, not a curated record.